This 513-nucleotide ribosomal RNA is filed under the name uncultured bacterium. RNAcentral describes it as "partial 16S ribosomal RNA". It matches the Rfam family "Bacterial small subunit ribosomal RNA", at positions 30 to 523 of the family's 1533-position model. The record is from RNAcentral.
AUUGAACGCUGGCGGCAUGCCUAAUACAUGCAAGCCGAGCGAACAGAUGAAGUGCUUGCACUUCUGACGUUAGCGGCGAACGGGUGAGUAACACGUAAGGAAUCUACCUAUAAGCGGGGGAUAACAUUCGGAAACGGGUGCUAAUACCGCAUAAUAUCCUCUUCCGCAUGGAAGAAGAUUUAAAGAAGGCCCUGCUGUCACCUAUAGAUGCACUUGCGGUGCAUUAGUUAGUUGGUGGGGUAACGGCCUACCAAGACGAUGAUGCAUAGCCGACCUGAGAGGGUGAUCGGCCGCAGUGGGACUGAGACACGGCCCAAACGGCUACGGGAGGCAGCAGUAGGGAAUCUUCCGCAAUGGGCGAAAGCCUGACGGAGCAAUGCCGCGUGAGUGAAGAAGGCCUUCGGGUCGUAAAACUCUGUUAUAAGAGAAGAACAAAUUGUAGAGUAACUGCUACAGUCUUGACGGUAUCUUAUCAGAAAGCCACGGCUAACUACGUGCCAGCAGCCGCAGUAA